This is a long non-coding RNA of Tupaia belangeri chinensis (Chinese tree shrew), 325 nucleotides long. RefSeq lists it as uncharacterized. The record is from RefSeq and is a predicted model, not a curated record. The transcript has 4 exons. Lineage: Eukaryota; Metazoa; Chordata; Mammalia; Scandentia; Tupaiidae.
GACCAGGUGGCUUGAUUUCUCACUCUGUCUCUCGCUGGAUGUUUUAAUUGUGAAAGUGGUCAUCCAGUCUGAGCAGACCCCCGAUAGCGGAUGUUACCUGAUUACUUUCCAUUUCCAGCAUGGACGGUCUGGCAGCGUCCAGUGGAUGUCAAAUAUGUGCUCCAUGAAUGGAUGAUUGAAUGAACAAAUAAGGAAAUUGAGACUCAAGAGAGCAAAGACAAGGCAUUCAAGGUCACCUGGCAAGAAAGGGCUCCCGGCCCAUAGGAAUAUUGAUUUGUAGACCUGUGUGACUGAGUUCUACCCAACGAAAUGUGGACAUGCACGG